This 1331-nucleotide long non-coding RNA is filed under the name Ananas comosus (pineapple). Its description in RNAcentral is "long non-coding RNA (ACOM_LNC037749)". The record is from RNAcentral. Lineage: Eukaryota; Viridiplantae; Streptophyta; Magnoliopsida; Poales; Bromeliaceae.
CCCCUUUUUUUAUAUCAUCUUUUGUACUUGAUGAUUUAGUUGUUAAAGAAAAGAACAUGUAUGUUGUGAAAGAUCUUUACAUUUAAAUGCAAGAAUGAUAUUUUGAGAUCAUGUGAUGUAAAAUAAAAAAAAUGAUGCAAAAAAAAUGUAAUCGAUUCCUUAAGUGUAGUUGUUUACUCUCACUCUUGGCUAUUGCUUGCCCUCGUGCAAGCCAUUGUGUAUGCUUUCGCUUAUACAAUUUUUAUACUCUAUCUGUACCUGUUAUUGAGCCUUGGGCGGACAGGGGAGGCUCUGUCCGUUCGGCGUCUGUUUCACGCUUUCAAACCGGCCAAAAAGGAUCGGGCUCGGGGCGUGACAAAAAGUGUGCCUUCAAGUCCUUAUACAUCUUGGUUCCAUCGGGGUGAACCGUAUAAGGUGAGUAAUGAGUCUCUCUCAAAAUCUCCUCUCGGAUCUCUGAAUUCAUAGGCACACACAAUCGGUCCCUGUACCGUAGUACUCCUGAACUGUCCAUAGAAAAAGUCUCUGGCUGUCCGCUUUCUAACAAACUUUUAAUUCCUCUUUAUUUCUACAAUAGAAAAUAAUUUAUGCUUAUCCAAAAAUCGAAGAGUAUCUACUGUGAAUCUAUAUUUUAAUUCAAAAUUUAUUUUAUUCUUCUUUAUCUUUAUCUAUAAUAUAUAUAUAUAUAUAUAUAUAGAGAGAGAGAGAGAGAGAGAGAGUCCGGCUGCUAUGCUAUCAAUAGCACCAAGCACUUGGUGCUAUCAAGUUUUCUGCCGUUAGAUUAACCCUUUGAUUAUUUUUACCCGUUAGAUUAUACUAUUCAACUAACCACCUACUCAACCCUAGGGCGCCCACAUCAUCCUAACUGCACAUCUCUUAAUCUAAGAGCGGAAAACUUAAUAGCACCAAGUUAUUGGUGCUAUUAAUAGUAUUCCAGCCUAGUUCUAUAUAUAUAUAUAUAUAUAUAUAUAUAUAUAUAUAUAAAUUAAAGAUAUAAUAAAAAUAAUUUAACCCAGAUUGGCUGACACGAUAGGGAAUGGACAGAAAGUGUAUGAAAAGUAUAUGAGUUAUUAAUAAGUGCCCAUUCGCAAUGCUUCUGAAUAACACUUGUACUUGCUACCAACUUUUUAAUCUUUAGUAGGGGCUUUGUUUAGUUCGGAUAUAAGUAAGAAUUAUCUAUUUCAGAGAUAAAUAUAAGUUUAAGAUAAAUCAAUUUUGCGUAUGAAAAUUGAGUUGCUCUCGAAAAUAAAAAAAAAAAUAGCGUUGCAUAGAUAAGAUAGAAUAACAAGAAUAAUAGUUAGAUAUAAAUAAAAAAUAAUGAUAUUGCCCCUAAU